UUUGUCUCAGAGCUUGAUACAAGAAUGAAGUAACACUUUUGUAAGGGCCUAGAUGUCAGGGGACACUUCCAACAGCUGCCUGUGAGAGGAUGCAUGCAUUUUUUUAUCAUUAGUAGAACACCAGAUAUGUGCCAGGUGCCAUUGCUCCCCAGCUGCCUCCUUUAGACCUUUCAGGCAUACACUGCGCUUCAGACUCGGGGUCUGGGAAAGCCCCCCUGAAGCAGGAGCAGCAGGAAGGCAAAGAAAGGCAGGACUCUCCCUCCUCACACCCACUGACACCCCGCCGCCCUCAGCGAGCCGAGGCCAGCCCCGUGCCAACCCUUACCCGUGGCCUUUUCCCACCUCUAGCCACACUAUACCUCAACCAGGCGCCACCGCCUCCCUCGGGGCCACCUGCAGGCGGUGCAUGCGCACUGGGCCUCGCGGGCGGCUUCUGGAGGCUUCUAAGGGGGGCGGGCUGUGCGCUGAGGGUUGUGCUCGGGCCUCAUGGCUGUGGGGAUGGUGGUAGUGGCUCAGGUGAUGGUCGUGUGGCACUGCCUCUGCGAGCUGAAGGGCAUUGCCUUGACUUCUGUCUUCUGGAAUAUUUCGUUAGCUACUCACUUGUGGUGUGAAUGCUUCGAAGAGGUAGGCUAAGUGCUGCCAUGAUGAGGGGUGUUGUGAUGUGCAAGGCUGUGCUGAAAUGGCACGCAGAAGAUCUGUUCCAGUAUAAGUGUGCUGUGAAAAAUGAGUAAAAAUUUCUGUUAUAUUUAUUGGUGAACUUAUUGGUGAACGUUGGGAUUUAUGUGUUUUGUUUUUUUUAAUGAUGUAAGCUUUGGGGGUUUUGCUGUCCGUUUGGUCAAGUAGCUAGAUUGUAGCAGCCCCAGUCUUGAAGAUAUUUUUGUUGGCCUUUGGAUGUAAUGUAAUGGGCUAUGUGCUGCAAGUAGGUUGAGACAGGAGAACAAGUAUGUUGUGGCAUGCUGAAGAUGGGUGUGGUUGUAUGUGAAUAAAUAUGGAUGGUGGAUCUUCAUUGGGAUUCAACAUAGAGCCCCAUUAAGAAAGCUGGCUAGAAGUCUUCUGUACGUGUAAAUCAGUUGUCUAGGCUAAUGCUGCUUACACAAGUAGCAAAAAUCUGUAGGCCUGCUUUAGAAGUACACUUUUUAGAUGUGCUUUAGAAUAGUUACACAUCUGUUGCUUUCCUACAGUAGCAUCAAAGAAGACUCAGCAGCUGGGCAAUAUGGAAGUCUUCAUACUACAGAUUUGUGUGGUUUUCAGUGAAGAACUGAAAUGCUGGUGUAGAGCAGUUAUUAAGUCAAUCAUGUACUGUGCAGGUCAUUAUCAAACAGAAUGCUUUCUUGUGGAUUAUGCCAAAUACACUUUUGUUAAAACAAAGGAUGUUCGAGCUGCAGUGAAAGCAUUUAUGCAAAUCCCAUAUAGAGCAAAAAAAUGUAGAUUGUAUUGCACAAAGCCGGUGACGUCAUGUAUCAACUUUUGUGAAGAUACAGCAAAAAUAGUGUAAGUAGAGUUGAAUAAUUGUAUUCUAGUCAUAGAUUUCUUAGGUGUGAAAUUUCAUCACAAUAUUUUUUUUUCUUCAGAGGAUACUGUUUCAAUAAGAACAUAGGAGAUAAGAUGUGGAAAACAAUUUCUUUUUUACAAGAGCAAUUC
Long non-coding RNA from Cygnus olor (mute swan), 1641 nucleotides. RefSeq lists it as uncharacterized. Lineage: Eukaryota; Metazoa; Chordata; Aves; Anseriformes; Anatidae. The transcript is spliced from 3 exons. The record is from RefSeq and is a predicted model, not a curated record.